Molecule: long non-coding RNA, 435 nt
Filed under: Olea europaea subsp. europaea
Lineage: Eukaryota; Viridiplantae; Streptophyta; Magnoliopsida; Lamiales; Oleaceae
Source: RNAcentral
CUCAGAUCUGCAAAUAAAACAGGCAAAGAGAGUGAAACACCGCCAUGGCUGCAGAAACCCAGUUGCAUACACGAGAAGAAAGAGCUCUUCUCCAGAUGCCAUCCGGGUUCGCCCCGCCAAGAUACGGGCCAGAUUUCCCCAUGCCCGACCCAACUCAAAAACAAUAAUCAUCAUAGCCAAAAACGUAGUAGCUGCAGCAAGAAUCCCGAAACUGAGCCUCGCUUUUUAGAGGCAAAACAAGAAGAUAGGAUACCAUUGGAUGAAACUUGCAAACAAGUUCAUUUCAUGGAGCAGCAGUUUUCAAGAGAACAUAUACAUUGCAGCCUGCGAGGGCUGUUGGUUUUUGUGGUAUGAAGAAAUCAUUGGCAAGUAGAGAGGGGCAACCACCCUUAAGAACUUCCCAUCUCUCUGUUUCACCUCCGUUCUGGAGUUGGG